UCCCGGCGGCGCCGCUGGGAGUGAAGCCGCCCGCGGCCAUCUUGGAUUCGGGCUGAGGGGCUCGGCGGGGGGGGGGGAGGGACGGCGGCCGCCAUUUUGAGUGCGGGCGUGAAGUCAGCGGCCUGCCCGGGCCGUGUCCCCAGGGAGCCAUGUUAGGUGUGGGCAGCCCCGACCCUCCCGCUGGGGCCAUUUUAAGGCCGGGCAGAGACGUCUCUUGGAGUUCACGGAGUGAUUGGGUGGAGGAAGGCGGUGUAUCCAAUCUGCAGUGAAAUGUUGAAAAGCAAACCCUCUGAAGAAGUCAAGAUGAUUUACCUCUGCUUUUUGCCCAAGCAGAGAGAAAUGGGAAGCAGGAUGUGUGGUGUCAUCUCAGUGCAUCUCUGGGGGCUAGAGUUACAGAAGGACUGGGACAAUGAGAAAGUGCUACAGAUAGCACAGUUCCAUGGAUAUGAAGAUCCAGGACAGUUGCUUAGUUUACUUUGACAUCUUCAGAAGGAGAAGCUGCAGGGUCACAGCAGUAGGAUGAGCUCUUGUAGUGGCUUGAAGCAACCCAAGCAGCAGUGGAGGAUGUUGCAGCAGCAGGUAUGAAACACCUUUUCUGAGUCCUUUUGCUUGUUCUGCACUGAUUUGUUGAUGUUUGACUGUCUUGCUCUCCUUGUAUUCAUUUCCAUGCUCUAUUACAA
Calypte anna (Anna's hummingbird) is the source of this 680-nucleotide long non-coding RNA. RefSeq lists it as uncharacterized. The transcript is spliced from 4 exons. NCBI's taxonomy places the organism in Eukaryota, Metazoa, Chordata, Aves, Apodiformes, Trochilidae. The record is from RefSeq and is a predicted model, not a curated record.